AGUGAACGCUGGCGGUAGGCCUAACACAUGCCAGUCGAACGGCAGCACAGUAAGAGCUUGCUCUUACGGGUGGCGAGUGGCGGACGGGUGAGGAAUACAUCGGAAUCUACUUUUUCGUGGGGGAUAACGUAGGGAAACUUACGCUAAUACCGCAUACGACCUACGGGUGAAAGCAGGGGAUCUUCGGACCUUGCGCGAUUGAAUGAGCCGAUGUCGGAUUAGCUAGUUGGCGGGGUAAAGGCCCACCAAGGCGACGAUCCGUAGCUGGUCUGAGAGGAUGAUCAGCCACACUGGAACUGAGACACGGUCCAGACCCCUACGGGAGGCAGCAGUGGGGAAUAUUGGACAAUGGGCGCAAGCCUGAUCCAGCCAUACCGCGUGGGUGAAGAAGGCCUUCGGGUUGUAAAGCCCUUCUGUUGGGAAAGAAAAGCAGCAGGUUAAUACCCCGCUGUUCUGACGGUACCCAAAGAAUAAGCACCGGCUAACUUCGUG
Molecule: ribosomal RNA, 492 nt
Filed under: uncultured bacterium
Lineage: Bacteria
Description: partial 16S ribosomal RNA
Rfam family: Bacterial small subunit ribosomal RNA
Source: RNAcentral